Molecule: ribosomal RNA, 763 nt
Filed under: uncultured bacterium
Lineage: Bacteria
Description: bacterial SSU rRNA
Rfam family: Bacterial small subunit ribosomal RNA
Source: RNAcentral
AGAGUUUGAUCCUGGCUCAGGAUGAACGCUGGCGGAGUGCCUAAUACAUGCAAGUCGAGCGGCAGCACGAGUAGUUUACUACUUGGUGGCGAGCGGCGGACGGCUGAGUAACGCGUGGGAACGUGCCCCAAAGUGAGGAAUAACUGCCCGAAAGGGUAGCUAAUGCCGCAUAUGAUCUUCGGAUUAAAGUAUUUAUUACGCUUUGGGAGCGGCCCGCGUCCGAUUAGAUAGUUGGUGAGGUAAAGGCUCACCAAGUCUACGAUCGGUAACUGGUCUGAGAGGAUGAUCAGUCAGACUGGAACUGAGACACGGUCCAGACUCCUACGGGAGGCAGCAGUAAGGAAUCUUCCACAAUGGACGAAAGUCUGAUGGAGCAACUCCGCGUGCAGGAUGAAGGCCCUCGGGUCGUAAACUGCUUUUAUGAGUGAAGAAUAUGACGGUAACUCAUGAAUAAGGGUCGGCUAACUACGUGCCAGCAGCCGCGGUCAUACGUAGGACCCAAGCGUUAUCCGGAGUGACUGGGCGUAAAGAGUUGCGUAGGUGGUUAGUAAAGUGAAUAGUGAAACCUGGUGGCUCAACCAUACAGACUAUUAUUCAAACUCACUAACUCGAGAAUGGUAGAGGUAACUGGAAUUUCUAGUGUAGGAGUGAAAUCCGUAGAUAUUAGAAGGAACACCAAUGGCGUAGGCAGGUUACUGGACCAUUUCUGACACUGAGGCACGAAAGCGUGGGGAGCGAACCGGAUUAGAUACCCUAGUAGUCC